AGAGAGAGAGAGAGAAUGGAGGAGCUCUGAAAUAUUGCGUCUUCUUUGAAAACUCUUCAAGCAAUCCAUUCUUGAUAAGGAGAAUUGAGGAAUUGAACAAGACUGUUAAUGGUAACGUGGAAGCAAAGUGUGUGUGUUUCUACCGGAGACGGGACAUUUCGAGCAGU
Molecule: long non-coding RNA, 167 nt
Organism: Amblyraja radiata (thorny skate)
Lineage: Eukaryota; Metazoa; Chordata; Chondrichthyes; Rajiformes; Rajidae
Exons: 3
Source: RefSeq, a predicted model, not a curated record